GAUGAACGCUGGCGGCGUGCCUAAUACAUGCAAGUCGAGCGAACAGAUAAGGAGCUUGCUCCUUUGACGUUAGCGGCGGACGGGUGAGUAACACGUGGAUAACCUACCUAUAAGACUGGGAUAACUUCGGGAAACCGGAGCUAAUACCGGAUAACAUAUUGAACCGCAUGGUUCAAUAGUGAAAGGCGGCUUUGCUGUCACUUAUAGAUGGAUCCGCGCCGUAUUAGCUAGUUGGUAAGGUAACGGCUUACCAAGGCAACGAUACGUAGCCGACCUGAGAGGGUGAUCGGCCACACGGGAACUGAGACACGGUCCAGACUCCUACGGGAGGCAGCAGUAGGGAAUCUUCCGCAAUGGGCGAGAGCCUGACGGAGCAACGCCGCGUGAGUGAUGAAGGUCUUCGGAUCGUAAAACUCUGUUAUCAGGGAGGAACAAAUGUGUAAGUAACUGUGCACAUCUUGACGGUACCUGAUCAGAAAGCCACGGCUAACUACGUG
This 497-nucleotide ribosomal RNA is filed under the name uncultured bacterium. RNAcentral describes it as "partial 16S ribosomal RNA". It matches the Rfam family "Bacterial small subunit ribosomal RNA", at positions 28 to 507 of the family's 1533-position model. The record is from RNAcentral.